UAUUGUUUUCACACGGAUCCACCUUUCCCCUUCCUUCUCUCUCAUCUCUCUCACAACUCACAUCUCACCAGAUCUCAUCCGCCCCCAACUCCAUGCUUUCUCUCUCCCAGGCGAUUUCCAGAUCUAGGGUUUCAAUAACCCUGAAUCGUUCAUUUUCUCUCAAUCCGACAGAAGAUCCAGUGGGGUUGACCUCUAGAUCCACUGGGUUUUUCUCUAAUCGGCGUUUUGCAACAUUCGGCUUUUGAUUCGUGUGUCUGACCUCCUGGUUCCGUUUUCCGGCUUUUAUUGGCGUUUUGCAACAUUCGGCUUUUGAUUCGUGUGUCUGGUUUAGUACCGAUGGGGAUUCGGCUUUUGAUUCGUGUCUGAUUCGUGUGUUGGUGUUGGAUUCGUGUGUGUGAUGAAGAUGGAGCAGUGGAGAUACACAAUCCUGGGGAACUAACCUCAUGAAAGAAUGAAACUGGUUUCAAGUAGCAUUGGUUAUUGU
Molecule: long non-coding RNA, 484 nt
Organism: Helianthus annuus (common sunflower)
Lineage: Eukaryota; Viridiplantae; Streptophyta; Magnoliopsida; Asterales; Asteraceae
Exons: 3
Source: RefSeq, a predicted model, not a curated record